RNAcentral lists this unclassified non-coding RNA (203 nucleotides) under Hevea brasiliensis (rubber tree). Lineage: Eukaryota; Viridiplantae; Streptophyta; Magnoliopsida; Malpighiales; Euphorbiaceae. The record is from RNAcentral.
UGUUCCACGGUUUGACUUUACUUUGUUGGUGGUGGUGUUUAUGUUUUUUUAACCGAAAUCAUUUCUGGUUGAUAUCUGAGUUCUUUUGGCUGGUUCUGUUGCAGUAGUAGCUGUGAGUUUGUUUUGCUGUUUUUUCUUAAUUUAUGAUGAUUCAGCUGGAGAAAGGCCCUGAACUUUUGAUAUCUGCAUGAAGUCUUGAGAGA